UCUCCGUAGGUGAACCUGCGGAGGGAUCAUUACAGAGUUCUCGCCCUCGCGGGUAGAUCUCCCACCCACCGUUAUCGUUACUGUGUUGCUUUGGCGGGCCGCCGGGCCCCGCUCGGCCGCCGGCUCCGGCUGGCGCGCGCCCGCCAGAGGCCCAGCAAACUCUGAAUGUUAGUGUCGUCUGAGUACUAUAUAAUAGUUAAAACUUUCAACAACGGAUCUCUUGGUUCUG
This 229-nucleotide unclassified non-coding RNA is filed under the name plant metagenome. RNAcentral's name for it is "partial contains small subunit ribosomal RNA, internal transcribed spacer 1, and 5.8S ribosomal RNA". The record is from RNAcentral.